This 305-nucleotide ribosomal RNA is filed under the name uncultured bacterium. RNAcentral describes it as "bacterial SSU rRNA". It matches the Rfam family "Bacterial small subunit ribosomal RNA", at positions 337 to 659 of the family's 1533-position model. The record is from RNAcentral.
ACCUACGGGGGGCAGCAGUAGGGAAUAUUGCACAAUGGGGGAAACCCUGAUGCAGCGACGCCGCGUGUGGGAAGACGGUCCUCUGGAUUGUAAACCACUGUCCCCAAGGACGAAAAUGACGGUACCUGGGGAGGAAGCUCCGGCUAACUACGUGCCAGCAGCCGCGGUAAUACGUAGGGAGCGAGCGUUGUCCGGAAUUACUGGGUGUAAAGGGAGCGUAGGCGGGGAUGCAAGUUGGGUGUCAAAACUACCGGCUCAACUGGUAGUCGCACUCAAAACUGCAGCUCUUGCGUGAAGUAGAGGCA